GGGUGUAGCUCAAAUGGUAGAGCACAUGCUUAGCACGCACGAGGACCUGGGUUCAAUUCCCAGUACGCCCA
Molecule: transfer RNA, 71 nt
Filed under: Camelus bactrianus (Bactrian camel)
Lineage: Eukaryota; Metazoa; Chordata; Mammalia; Artiodactyla; Camelidae
Also listed under: 1 other name
Rfam family: tRNA
About the family: Transfer RNA (tRNA) molecules are approximately 80 nucleotides in length. Their secondary structure includes four short double-helical elements and three loops (D, anti-codon, and T loops). Further hydrogen bonds mediate the characteristic L-shaped molecular structure. tRNAs have two regions of fundamental functional importance: the anti-codon, which is responsible for specific mRNA codon recognition, and the 3' end, to which the tRNAs corresponding amino acid is attached (by aminoacyl-tRNA synthetases). tRNAs cope with the degeneracy of the genetic code in two manners: having more than one tRNA (with a specific anti-codon) for a particular amino acid; and 'wobble' base-pairing, i.e. permitting non-standard base-pairing at the 3rd anti-codon position.
Source: Rfam by way of RNAcentral